GACGAACGCUGGCGGCGUGCUUAACACAUGCAAGUCGAACGGAAAGGCCCUGCUUUUGUGGGGUGCUCGAGUGGCGAACGGGUGAGUAACACGUGAGUAACCUGCCCUUGACUUUGGGAUAACUUCAGGAAACUGGGGCUAAUACCAGAUAGGAGCUCCUGCUGCAUGGUGGGGGUUGGAAAGUUUCGGCGGUUGGGGAUGGACUCGCGGCUUAUCAGCUUGUUGGUGGGGUAGUGGCUUACCAAGGCUUUGACGGGUAGCCGGCCUGAGAGGGUGACCGGCCACAUGGGGACUGAGAUACGGCCCAGACCCCUACGGGAGGGAGCAGGGGGGAAUAUUGCACAAGGGGGGGAAGCCUGAUGCAGCAACGCCGCGGGCGGGAGGACGGCCUUCGGGUGGUAAACCGCUUUCGCCUGUGACGAAGCGGGAGUGACGGUAAUGGGUAAAGAAGCACCGGCUAACUACGU
RNAcentral lists this ribosomal RNA (467 nucleotides) under uncultured bacterium. RNAcentral describes it as "partial 16S ribosomal RNA". It matches the Rfam family "Bacterial small subunit ribosomal RNA", at positions 28 to 506 of the family's 1533-position model. The record is from RNAcentral.